AGGUAAGCUACUAAGAGCGAAUGGUGGAUGCCUUGACUGGUAAAGGCGAUGAAGGACGUACUAGACUGCGAUAAGCUACGGGGAGCUGUCAAGAAGCUUUGAUCCGUAGAUUUCCGAAUGGGGCAACCCAAUGUAUAGAGAUAUACAUUACCUAUAUAGGAGCGAACGAGGGGAAUUGAAACAUCUUAGUACCCUCAGGAAAAGAAAUCAAUAGAGAUUGCGUCAGUAGCGGCGAGCGAAAGCGCAAGAGGGCAAACCCAGUGCUUGCACUGGGGGUUGUAGGACUGCAAUGUGCAAGAGGUGAGUUUAGCAGAACAUUCUGGAAAGUAUAGCCAUAGAGGGUGAUAGUCCCGUAUGCGAAAAACAAACCUUAGCUAGCAGUAUCCUGAGUAGGGCGGGACACGAGAAAUCCUGUCUGAAGCUGGGUCGACCACGAUCCAACCCUAAAUACUAAUACCAGAUCGAUAGUGCACAAGUACCGUGAGGGAAAGGUGAAAAGAACUGAGGUGAUCAGAGUGAAAUAGAACCUGAAACCAUUUGCUUACAAUCAUUCAGAGCACUAUGUAGCAAUACAGUGUGAUGGACUGCCUUUUGCAUAAUGAGCCUGCGAGUUGUGGUGUCUGGCAAGGUUAAGCAAACGCGAAGCCGUAGCGAAAGCGAGUCUGAAUAGGGCGCUUAGUCAGAUGCUGCAGACCCGAAACGAAGUGAUCUAUCCAUGAGCAAGUUGAAGCUAGUGUAAGAACUAGUGGAGGACUGAACCCAUAGGCGUUGAAAAGCCCCGGGAUGACUUGUGGAUAGGGGUGAAAGGCCAAUCAAACUUCGUGAUAGCUGGUUCUCUCCGAAAUAUAUUUAGGUAUAGCGUUGUGUCGUAAUAUAAGGGGGUAGAGCACUGAAUGGGCUAGGGCAUACACCAAUGUACCAAACCCUAUCAAACUCCGAAUACCUUAUAUGUAAUCACAGCAGUCAGGCGGCGAGUGAUAAAAUCCGUCGUCAAGAGGGAAACAACCCAGACUACCAGCUAAGGUCCCUAAAUCUUACUUAAGUGGAAAACGAUGUGAAGUUACUUAAACAACCAGGAGGUUGGCUUAGAAGCAGCCAUCCUUUAAAGAAAGCGUAAUAGCUCACUGGUCUAGUGAUUUUGCGCGGAAAAUAUAACGGGGCUAAAGUAAGUACCGAAGCUGUAGACUUGACUUUGUCAAGUGGUAGGAGAGCGUUCUAUUUGCGUCGAAGGUAUACCGGUAAGGAGUGCUGGAGCGAAUAGAAGUGAGCAUGCAGGCAUGAGUAGCGAUAAUUAAUGUGAGAAUCAUUAACGCCGUAAACCCAAGGUUUCCUACGCGAUGCUCGUCAUCGUAGGGUUAGUCGGGUCCUAAGUCGAGUCCGAAAGGGGUAGACGAUGGCAAAUUGGUUAAUAUUCCAAUACCAACAUUAGUGUGCGAUGGAAGGACGCUUAGGGCUAAGGGGGCUAGCGGAUGGAAGUGCUAGUCUAAGGUCGUAGGUGCUUAUACAGGCAAAUCCGUAUAAGAAUACACCGAGAACUGAAAGGCUUUUUGAAGUCUUCGGAUGGAUAGAAGAACCCCUGAUGCCGUCGAGCCAAGAAAAGUUUCUAAGUUUAGCUAAUGUUGCCCGUACCGUAAACCGACACAGGUGGGUGGGAUGAGUAUUCUAAGGCGCGUGGAAGAACUCUCUUUAAGGAACUCUGCAAAAUAGCACCGUAUCUUCGGUAUAAGGUGUGGUUCGCUUCGUAUUAGGAUUUACUCCGAAAGCGAAGAAACUUACAACAAAGAGUCCCUCCCGACUGUUUACCAAAAACACAGCACUCUGCUAACUCGUAAGAGGAUGUAUAGGGUGUGACGCCUGCCCGGUGCUCGAAGGUUAAUUGAUGGGGUUAGCAUUAGCGAAGCUCUUGAUCGAAGCCCGAGUAAACGGCGGCCGUAACUAUAACGGUCCUAAGGUAGCGAAAUUCCUUGUCGGUUAAAUACCGACCUGCAUGAAUGGCGUAACGAGAUGGGAGCUGUCUCAAAGAGGGAUCCAGUGAAAUUGUAGUGGAGGUGAAAAUUCCUCCUACCCGCGGCAAGACGGAAAGACCCCGUGGACCUUUACUACAGCUUGACACUGCUAUUUGGAUAAGAAUGUGCAGGAUAGGUGGGAGGCUUUGAGUAUAUGACGCUAGUUGUAUAUGAGCCAUUGUUGAGAUACCACUCUUUCUUAUUUGGGUAGCUAACCAGCUUGAGUUAUCCUCAAGUGGGACAAUGUCUGGUGGGUAGUUUGACUGGGGCGGUCGCCUCCCAAAUAAUAACGGAGGCUUACAAAGGUUGGCUCAGAACGGUUGGAAAUCGUUCGUAGAGUAUAAAGGUAUAAGCCAGCUUAACUGCAAGACAUACAAGUCAAGCAGAGACGAAAGUCGGUCUUAGUGAUCCGGUGGUUCUGUGUGGAAGGGCCAUCGCUCAAAGGAUAAAAGGUACCCCGGGGAUAACAGGCUGAUCUCCCCCAAGAGCUCACAUCGACGGGGAGGUUUGGCACCUCGAUGUCGGCUCAUCGCAUCCUGGGGCUGGAGCAGGUCCCAAGGGUAUGGCUGUUCGCCAUUUAAAGCGGUACGCGAGCUGGGUUCAGAACGUCGUGAGACAGUUCGGUCCCUAUCUGCCGUGGGCGUAAGAAGAUUGAAGAGAUUUGACCCUAGUACGAGAGGACCGGGUUGAACAAACCACUGGUGUAGCUGUUGUUCUGCCAAGAGCAUCGCAGCGUAGCUAAGUUUGGAAAGGAUAAACGCUGAAAGCAUCUAAGCGUGAAGCCAACUCUAAGAUGAAUCUUCUCUAAGCUCUCUAGAAGACUACUAGUUUGAUAGGCUGGGUGUGUAAUGGAUGAAAGUCCUUUAGCUGACCAGUACUAAUAGAGCGUUUGGCUUAUCUUU
RNAcentral lists this ribosomal RNA (2908 nucleotides) under Campylobacter coli. Its description in RNAcentral is "23S ribosomal RNA". It matches the Rfam family "Bacterial large subunit ribosomal RNA". The record is from RNAcentral. Lineage: Bacteria; Pseudomonadati; Campylobacterota; Epsilonproteobacteria; Campylobacterales; Campylobacteraceae.